ACUCUCAGUUUCUGAGUCAGUUUCUCCAUGAAUGCUAUAUACCACACCUUGUGAUACCAAUAAACACAAAUCUUUCCAAUGUUUAACCAUAGUCAACCCAGCUGCCAUCAGUUAAGUGGUUAAUUAGGUCCUGAUCUUUGAGGUCUGCACCUGUGUGGAGUGCAAGGUUUUGAGUUCCCCAGGGCUCUUCAUCUGGGUAAAUGGUGAACAGAGCAAACAAGCAAGCGAGGGAGGAGAGGAAGAAAGUUUGCUGAGUUGAAGCCACAGAAUCUUCAUCAUUUAGGAGACCUAAGAUGGAAACAGCGAGAAGGGACCAGCACUCCUUGCUCUAAACCAGGAGGCAAGUCUGUGAUCUAUGUUCAUCACUAAUCUAGACCACAUUUCUGCACCGAUGAUGAUGAUCUUGAUGCAGUAUCUACUGAUACCUCCAUGACUAUGGAACAAAAAAGACAGCUCUAUGCACAACCCAAGUGGGAGUAUUGGCAUUAAGGUCAAGUGUUUCAAACUAUAUGGAUUGUUGAAGCAUUAUCAGAGUUCAAGGACUGAUUCCACCUUGGCAAAAAUAAGGGGCA
Long non-coding RNA from Podarcis raffonei (Aeolian wall lizard), 572 nucleotides. RefSeq lists it as uncharacterized. The transcript is spliced from 3 exons. The record is from RefSeq and is a predicted model, not a curated record. NCBI's taxonomy places the organism in Eukaryota, Metazoa, Chordata, Lepidosauria, Squamata, Lacertidae.